RNAcentral lists this ribosomal RNA (305 nucleotides) under uncultured bacterium. RNAcentral describes it as "bacterial SSU rRNA". It matches the Rfam family "Bacterial small subunit ribosomal RNA", at positions 337 to 639 of the family's 1533-position model. The record is from RNAcentral.
GCCUACGGGGGGCAGCAGUGAGGAAUAUUGGUCAAUGGUCGGGAGACUGAACCAGCCAAGCCGCGUGAGGGAUGAAGGUACAGAGUAUCGUAAACCUCUUUUGUCAGGGAACAAAGGCGGGGACGCGUCCCCGGAUGAGUGUACCUGAAGAAAAAGCAUCGGCUAACUCCGUGCCAGCAGCCGCGGUAAUACGGAGGAUGCGAGCGUUAUCCGGAUUUAUCGGGUUUAAAGGGUGCGCAGGCGGUCUGUUAAGUCAGCGGUCAAAGCCCGGGGCUCAACCCCGGCCAGCCGUUGAAACUGGACGG